AGGAUUAGCAAGUACUGUGGGAGCUGGGAAGACAAUGGCUUCUUGAGUGGCGUAGCUUACACUGGGCACAGAGAGCCGAAUAUCCUGUUGCAGUCUGCCAACGGAGCAAAGCUUCAUGCAGCUGCACCCAGCCGUGGAGUUACCCAUUUGUGCUACCCUGUGGGUUAGGGGUACCCCAGUGGUAACUAACAGAGUUCUUUUGAAUGCUGGUCAUCGUCGUGGGAAACCACCAGUUUCUGCUCUCAAGAGACUCACUGUCCCACCUCCGGCAGGACACCUACUUCCAUAAACCAGCCCAUCAGCUGACUUCUUUCCUUGUCUGUCCAUUACUACAAAAGUCAAGACCCUUACAGUUAUGAG
Molecule: long non-coding RNA, 360 nt
Organism: Mus musculus (house mouse)
Lineage: Eukaryota; Metazoa; Chordata; Mammalia; Rodentia; Muridae
Product: predicted gene, 40483
Exons: 3
Source: RefSeq, a predicted model, not a curated record